CCCUUAGAUGUUCUGGGCCGCACGCGCGCUACACUGAUGCAUUCAACAAGCCUAGCCUUGACCGAGAGGUCCGGGUAAUCUUUGAAACUGCAUCGUGAUGGGGCUAGAUUAUUGCAAUUAUUAAUCUUCAACGAGGAAUGCCUAGUAAGCGUGAUUCAUCAAAUCGCGUUGAUUACGUCCCUGCCCUUUGUACACACCGCCCGUCGCUCCUACCGAUUGAAUGUGUUGGUGAGGAGCUCGGAUUGGCAGCAGUUGGUGGUUCGCCACCGGCUAUUGCUGAGAAGUCCUCCAAACCGCACCAUUUAGAGGAAGGAGAAGUCGUAACA
RNAcentral lists this ribosomal RNA (326 nucleotides) under uncultured eukaryote. RNAcentral describes it as "partial 18S ribosomal RNA". It matches the Rfam family "Eukaryotic small subunit ribosomal RNA", at positions 1470 to 1796 of the family's 1831-position model. The record is from RNAcentral.